This 502-nucleotide ribosomal RNA is filed under the name uncultured bacterium. RNAcentral describes it as "bacterial SSU rRNA". It matches the Rfam family "Bacterial small subunit ribosomal RNA", at positions 19 to 518 of the family's 1533-position model. The record is from RNAcentral.
AUGGCUCAGGACGAACGCUGGCGGCGUGCCUAAUACAUGCAAGUCGAACGGUCUUUCUAUGGAAGCUUGCUCCCACUGAGAAGAUAGUGGCGAACGGGUGAGUAACACGUGGGUAACCUGCCCAUAAGAGGGGGGAUAACAUCCGGAAACGGGUGCUAAUACCGCAUAGUUUUCUUGAUCGCAUGAUUGAGAAAGGAAAGACGGCCUUUGUGCUGUCGCUUAUGGAUGGACCCGCGGCGUAUUAGUUAGUUGGUGAGGUAACGGCUCACCAAGACGAUGAUACGUAGCCGACCUGAGAGGGUGAUCGGCCACAUUGGGACUGAGACACGGCCCAAACUCCUACGGGAGGCAGCAGUAGGGAAUAUUGCACAAUGGGGGAAACCCUGAUGCAAGCAACGCCGCGUGAGUGAUGACGGCCUUCGGGUUGUAAAGCUCUGUCUUCAGGGACGAUAAUGACGGUACCUGAGGAGGAAGCCACGGCUAACUACGUGCCAGCAGCGGC